This 422-nucleotide ribosomal RNA is filed under the name uncultured archaeon. RNAcentral describes it as "partial 16S ribosomal RNA". It matches the Rfam family "Archaeal small subunit ribosomal RNA", at positions 323 to 746 of the family's 1478-position model. The record is from RNAcentral.
CUACGGGAGGCACCAGGCGAGAAAACUUUGCAAUGUGCGAAAGCACGACAAGGUUAAUCCGAGUGGUUUGUGCUAAACGAACCUUUUGACAGUCCUAGAAACACUGUUGAAUAAGGGGUGGGCAAGUUCUGGUGUCAGCCGCCGCGGUAAAACCAGCACCUCAAGUGGUCAGGAUGAUUAUUGGGCCUAAAGCAUCCGUAGCCGGCUCUGUUAGUUUUCGGUUAAAUCUGUACGCUCAACGUACAGGCUGCCGGGAAUACUGCAGAGCUAGGGAGUGGGAGAGGUAGACGGUACUCGGUAGGAAGGGGUAAAAUCCUUUGAUCUAUUGAUGACCACCUGUGGCGAAGGCGGUCUACCAGAGCACGUCCGACGGUGAGGGAUGAAAGCUGGGGGAGCAAACCGGAUUAGAUACCCUAGUAGUC